RNAcentral lists this ribosomal RNA (466 nucleotides) under uncultured bacterium. RNAcentral's name for it is "partial 16S ribosomal RNA". It matches the Rfam family "Bacterial small subunit ribosomal RNA", at positions 28 to 507 of the family's 1533-position model. The record is from RNAcentral.
GACGAACGCUGGCGGCGUGCUUAACACAUGCAAGUCGAACGGAAAGGCCUCUUUCGGGGGGUACUCGAGUGGCGAACGGGUGAGUAACACGUGAGUAACCUGCCCUUGACUUUGGGAUAACUUCAGGAAACUGGGGCUAAUACCGGAUAGGAGCUCCUGCUGCAUGGUGGGGGUUGGAAGUUUCGGCGGUUGGGGAUGGACUCGCGGCUUAUCAGCUUGUUGGUGGGGUAGUGGCUUACCAAGGCUUUGACGGGUAGCCGGCCUGAGAGGGUGACCGGCCACAUUGGGACUGAGAUACGGCCCAGACUCCUACGGGAGGCAGCAGUGGGGAAUAUUGCACAAUGGGUGGAAGCCUGAUGCAGCAACGCCGUGUGCGGGAUGACGGCCUUCGGGUUGUAAACCGCUUUCGCUCAUGACGAAGCUUUGUGUGACGGUAGUGGGUAAAGAAGCACCGGCUAACUACGUG